UUCUUACCUCUUCUCCCUCCCUGCACCUUCCACCCUGGUCACAAACUCCUCCGCUCCGCUCCACAAACACUGACCCCACCAUCACCACCUCUGCCCACCCCUGCCCAAUGCCCACAGCCACCACCCCGCCCGGCUGUUUUCCCAGAGUGGGUGGAGGAGCACACCCUGGAGUUUCCGUAGGUGGAAAGAAGGGCUGGAGGGGCUGGCACAUGUGCCUACUGUACGUCCAUUGCAGCAGUGUCCUUACCAAGGUCAACGGGAGAGCUGGGGGGAGGAUGUGGGUUGCUAGGGAGCACCCAAACAAAUGCUGUGGCAUAAACAGAGGAGGGUGCUGAAAGAUUCCGAGAGCCAGCGACAUGCCUUGUAGGAGCAGACACGGAAUGAAGUCACAAACAUACCUUUCAACCAGGCAAUUCAUUUACAGCGAAAUCAGCAAGCUGGCAUGGAAGCAGUCGGGGCUCAACACAUCAUUGUGCAGAGUCAAAGUUUCACCGAGAAGGUGAAUUAAAGUGACAAUGUUAUGUACAUUUAGCCUACUCCCACAGAAAAGAUAUUUAUGCAAAUGUUUAAUCAAUAUGUGCUGAAAAAUCACUUUAAAUGACAUCCAAGCAUGGGCUUGAUAGGCCUGUUCCAAUCAAGGCUUGGUGAAAUGAACAAGACGAAGUGAAACGUUGUCGGUGCUGGGAAAAUCCCAAAAGGCACUGACCAUUCCAUAAUUAAACAGCCUAAAUAUCAAUCGAUGGAAAGAUUGUAUAACACUGCAACAGCAGAGGUCUGUGUUUCACUGAAGCUCAAUCAUGGAAACUACAUCAUUAAAGUGAAGUGAAAUCUUA
Molecule: long non-coding RNA, 833 nt
Organism: Alosa sapidissima (American shad)
Lineage: Eukaryota; Metazoa; Chordata; Actinopteri; Clupeiformes; Clupeidae
Exons: 3
Source: RefSeq, a predicted model, not a curated record